ACAUCCAGAGAAUUUAGCAGAGAUGCUUUAGUGCCUUCGGGAACUCUGAGACAGGUGCUGCAUGGCUGUCGUCAGCUCGUGUUGUGAAAUGUUGGGUUAAGUCCCGNAACGAGCGCAACCCUUAUCCUUUGUUGCCAGCACGUAAUGGUGGGAACUCAAAAGGAGGACUGCCGGUGAUAAACCGGAGGAAGGUGGGGAUGACGUCAAGUCAUCAUGGCCCUUACGAGUAGGGCUACACACGUGCUACAAUGGCGCAUACAAAGAGAAGCGACCUCGCGAGAGCAAGCGGACCUCAUAAAGUGCGUCGUAGUCCGGAUUGGAGUCUGCAACUCGACUCCAUGAAGUCGGAAUCGCUAGUAAUCGUAAAUCAGAAUGUUACGGUGAAUACGUUCCCGGGCCUUGUACACACCGCCCGUCACACCAUGGGAGUGGGUUGCAAAAGAAGUAGAUAGCUUAACCUUCGGGAGGGCGUUUACCACUUUGUGAUUCAUGACUGGGGUGAAGUCGUAACAAGGUAAGCGUAGUGCU
Molecule: ribosomal RNA, 528 nt
Filed under: uncultured bacterium
Lineage: Bacteria
Description: bacterial SSU rRNA
Rfam family: Bacterial small subunit ribosomal RNA
Source: RNAcentral